Picea glauca (white spruce) is the source of this 119-nucleotide non-coding RNA. The record is from Rfam. NCBI's taxonomy places the organism in Eukaryota, Viridiplantae, Streptophyta, Pinopsida, Pinales, Pinaceae.
UGGUGAAAUCAUAUCAGUGUUAAUGCACCGGAUCCCAUCAGAACUCCGCAGUUAAGCGUGCUUAGGGUAGAGUAAUACUGGGAUGGGUGACGUCCCAGGAAGUCCUAGUGUUGCACCCU